CGUCUAGGCGGCAGCCUAAGUCUCGCGUGAAAGCUCCCGGCUCAACUGGGAGAGGGCGCGGGAAACUGGGCAGCUAGAGACUCGGAGGGGGGUGUGGAAUUCCCGGUGGAGUGGUGAUAUGCGUUGAGAUCGGGAGGAACACCAGUGGCGAAGGCGGCACCCUGGCCGAGGUCUGACGCUGAAGCGCGACAGCGUGGGGAGCAAACG
This 207-nucleotide ribosomal RNA is filed under the name uncultured bacterium. RNAcentral's name for it is "partial 16S ribosomal RNA". It matches the Rfam family "Bacterial small subunit ribosomal RNA", at positions 568 to 774 of the family's 1533-position model. The record is from RNAcentral.